RNAcentral lists this ribosomal RNA (239 nucleotides) under uncultured bacterium. RNAcentral describes it as "partial 16S ribosomal RNA". It matches the Rfam family "Bacterial small subunit ribosomal RNA", at positions 976 to 1218 of the family's 1533-position model. The record is from RNAcentral.
CACCUUUGACAUGUACGGAAUCCUUUACGAGAUAGAGGAGUGCUCGAAAGAGAGCCGUAACACAGGUGCUGCAUGGCUGUCGUCAGCUCGUGUCGUGAGAUGUUGGGUUAAGUCCCGCAACGAGCGCAACCCUUGCCAUUAGUUGCUACGAAAGGGCACUCUAAUGGGACUGCCGGUGACAAACCGGAGGAAGGUGGGGAUGACGUCAAGUCCUCAUGGCCCUUAUAGGUGGGGCUACA